UUUGCAUACAUAUAUAUAUAUAUAUAUGGUAUAUAUAUAUUUAUAUAUGUGGCAUCAGAAGAAAAAGGCAAUUGGGCUGAAUGUCACAGCCGAAAUGGAAGGAGAAAUAAUUGGUUGUUACAGGUCCCACUGGAAUGGUUUGACAUGGGUUUAAAGUUUGAUUUUUUUUUUUUUUUUUUGUUGCUUUCUAAAUGUGAUAUAUUUAUUGGUGUUUUGUUAUGGAGUAGUUUGACCGAAAUGAUGAAGAGAAAAGGAAGCAAAAUGAGUUUUGAUUUAGUGUUAUAUAUAUAUGAUUUAUAUAUAUAUAUUGUGUAUCUAGUAAAAGGACAAGGCCAGGUGCCGAAAAUUGAAAAGGAGAGGUGCAGCAGCAAAAUGAAGGAAUAGAGAAAGGAAAAUUGUAAUGAUAAUUUGUGGGGUCCACCACUUGAUUUAUGUUUUAAUUUGUUGCAUAUAAUAUAUAUAUAUAAAUGUAUAUAUAUAUAUAUUUUGGGGCAACAUGGUGCUGCCAGCGAGAUUGAGAAAGGGAAUUGAGAUGGAAAAUGGUGAUGUGGUGGCGGGCCAUUAAGAGAUUUUUUUGUUUGCCAAUUCAUUUCUUUGACUUCUUGGGCUGUUUGGUAUACAAUUGAUUGUGUGUGUAAUGAAAGAAUAAGGAAAAGUAAGAAAAGGGGAAAAUUGGUGGUGGGCCCAUGGCAUUUAAUCAUUGUUUUGAUAUUUUAUUUCAUGGUGAGCUAUAUUGAGAUUUUAUUUAUUUAUUUAUUUUGUGUCGGUGGAAAGCCAUUAUAUAGUUUGGAAUUUGUGCCUCAUGGGUGAGUUAAUUUGAGAAGACAAAUAGAGAAAUAUAGAGGAAACACACAGAGAGUGUGAGGAUACAGAAAGAGGGCCGAGACUCAAAGGAUGCUGAGAAUUGUGGCCUUGAUAAUCCCGAGUUGAUUUAUUUAUUUUGCAGUUUUCAGAUACCGAGGAUGAACUUGGAUUGCUAGUAGUGGACUUAGGUGGAAGAGUUGGUGUUAAGGAAUUAAAUUAUUUUAUUUAGAGAUUUUUAUGUAUUUAUUUGAGGAAAUUGAUUUAGUAUCAAUUUAAUUAAUUUGAGAUGUUGUCUUAUUUAUUUGAGAAAAUUUGAUUGAUUUUGUAUCAAUAGAGGGUAUUUUAUUUCUUUUGAGAUCCUAGGUGUCUUUUAUGAAGUAUUUUGAUUUAAUGAAAUUGAGGAUUUUAUUUAGAAAAAAUUCGGGGCGUGACAAAGCUCUAAGAGCUUGUUUUAACCCGUAUAAAACUUUGGUUAGCUUAUAUACGCGGUUGGGAUAUUCAAGACUUUCAAAAUCGGGUGGUUGUUCAACAAGAACUUCUUCAUCAAUGAACCCAUUCAAGAAUGCACUUUUGACAUCCAUUUGAUACAGCUUAAAGUUUGGAUUGGAUGCAAAGGCAAGUAGCAUUCUAAUUGCUUCAAGUCGAGUAACUGGAGCAAAAGUUUCGUCGUAAUCGAUACCUUCCUCUUGAUUGUAACCUUGAGCAACAAGCCUGGCUUUAUUUUUAACAAUAAUUCCAUGUUCGUCCAUUUUGUUUCUAAAAA
This is a long non-coding RNA of Cornus florida, 1567 nucleotides long. RefSeq lists it as uncharacterized. The transcript has 2 exons. NCBI's taxonomy places the organism in Eukaryota, Viridiplantae, Streptophyta, Magnoliopsida, Cornales, Cornaceae. The record is from RefSeq and is a predicted model, not a curated record.